Molecule: ribosomal RNA, 1007 nt
Filed under: Angustimassarina arezzoensis
Lineage: Eukaryota; Fungi; Ascomycota; Dothideomycetes; Pleosporales; Amorosiaceae
Description: SSU rRNA
Rfam family: Eukaryotic small subunit ribosomal RNA
Source: RNAcentral
AUACCGUGAAACUGCGAAUGGCUCAUUAAAUCAGUUAUCGUUUAUUUGAUAGUACCUUACUACUUGGAUACCCGUGGUAAUUCUAGAGCUAAUACAUGCUGAAAACCCCGACUUCGGAAGGGGUGUAUUUAUUAGAUAAAAAACCAAUGCCCUUCGGGGCUACUUGGUGAUUCAUAAUAACUUAACGGAUCGCAUGGCCUUGCGCCGGCGACGGUUCAUUCAAAUUUCUGCCCUAUCAACUUUCGAUGGUAAGGUAUUGGCUUACCAUGGUUUCAACGGGUAACGGGGAAUAAGGGUUCUAUUCCGGAGAGGGAGCCUGAGAAACGGCUACCACAUCCAAGGAAGGCAGCAGGCGCGCAAAUUACCCAAUCCCGACACGGGGAGGUAGUGACAAUAAAUACUGAUACAGGGCUCUUUUGGGUCUUGUAAUUGGAAUGAGUACAAUUUAAAUCCCUUAACGAGGAACAAUUGGAGGGCAAGUCUGGUGCCAGCAGCCGCGGUAAUUCCAGCUCCAAUAGCGUAUAUUAAAGUUGUUGCAGUUAAAAAGCUCGUAGUUGAACCUUGGGCCUGGCUGGCCGGUCCGCCUCACCGCGUGUACUGGUCCGGCCGGGCCUUUCCUUCUGGAGAGCCCCAUGCCCUUCACUGGGUGUGCGGGGGAACCAGGACUUUUACUUUGAAAAAAUUAGAGUGUUCAAAGCAGGCCUUUGCUCGAAUACGUUAGCAUGGAAUAAUAGAAUAGGACGUGUGGUUCUAUUUUGUUGGUUUCUAGAACCGCCGUAAUGAUUAAUAGGGAUAGUCGGGGGCAUCAGUAUUCAAUUGUCAGAGGUGAAAUUCUUAGAUUUAUUGAAGACUAACUACUGCGAAAGCAUUUGCCAAGGAUGUUUUCAUUAAUCAGUGAACGAAAGUCAGGGGAUCGAAGACGAUCAGAUACCGUCGUAGUCUUGACCGUAAACUAUGCCGACUAGGGAUCGGGCGGUGUUUCUAUCUUGACCCGCCUCGGCACCUUA